UACGGGGGGGGCAAGCGUUGUCCGGAAUUACUGGGCGUAAAGGGCUCGUAGGCGGCCAACUAAGUCAGACGUGAAAUCCCUCGGCUUAACCGGGGAACUGCGUCUGAUACUGGAUGGCUUGAGGUUGGGAGAGGGAUGCGGAAUUCCAGGUGUAGCGGUGAAAUGCGUAGAUAUCUGGAGGAACACCGGUGGCGAAGGCGGCAUCCUGGACCAAUUCUGACGCUGAGGAACGAAAGCCAGGGGAGCAAACGGG
Molecule: ribosomal RNA, 253 nt
Filed under: uncultured bacterium
Lineage: Bacteria
Description: partial 16S ribosomal RNA
Rfam family: Bacterial small subunit ribosomal RNA
Source: RNAcentral